Non-coding RNA from Pelobates cultripes (western spadefoot toad), 214 nucleotides. The record is from the annotation of a GenBank genome assembly. Lineage: Eukaryota; Metazoa; Chordata; Amphibia; Anura; Pelobatidae.
CUCCAAACCAACUAUGGUUAUAUCUUGCUUAUAAGUUGGGACAAUUUACGUUCUGCAAAUGGUUCCCUACUCAUCCCAGUUACUCCUACCUUUAACCAUCAGAAGAGUAACGCAUACCCAGCACACUGUCCACAGGACAUGAAUACAGCUUGAAGGGAAUACACCCUCACACUCAGGAGCAUUACCCCCUCCUCUCAUGGUCCCAGGGAAAAGG